CCUACGGGAGGCAGCAGUGAGGAAUAUUGGUCAAUGGACGAGAGUCUGAACCAGCCAAGUAGCGUGAAGGAUGACUGCCCUAUGGGUUGUAAACUUCUUUUAUAUGGGAAUAAAAUGUUCCACGUGUGGGAUUUUGUAUGUACCAUAUGAAUAAGGAUCGGCUAACUCCGUGCCAGCAGCCGCGGUAAUACGGAGGAUCCGAGCGUUAUCCGGAUUUAUUGGGUUUAAAGGGAGCGUAGGCGGGCGUUCAAGUCAGCUGUAAAAUCGCGCGGCUCAACCGCGCCCCGCAGUUGAAACUGGACGCCUUGAGUUCACAACAGGCAGGCGGAAUUCGUGGUGUAGCGGUGAAAUGCAUAGAUAUCACGAGGAACCCCGAUUGCGAAGGCAGCCUGCCGGGGUGCGACUGACGCUGAGGCUCGAAGGUGCGGGUAUCAAACAGGAUUAGAUACCCCAGUAGUC
This 459-nucleotide ribosomal RNA is filed under the name uncultured bacterium. RNAcentral's name for it is "partial 16S ribosomal RNA". It matches the Rfam family "Bacterial small subunit ribosomal RNA", at positions 338 to 795 of the family's 1533-position model. The record is from RNAcentral.